Non-coding RNA from Triticum urartu, 747 nucleotides. The record is from RefSeq and is a predicted model, not a curated record. Lineage: Eukaryota; Viridiplantae; Streptophyta; Magnoliopsida; Poales; Poaceae.
ACUCGCGCACAACAGCCAGACCGUCCGCUCAUCCCCUUUCUCUCCCGGGCGACGCGACGGCGACGGCCGAUUGCUAGCGGCGGAGAGGAUGUUCCCCAAGAUCAGCGGCGGCGUGACAUGGCGAGGGUCAGCGCGCUAAGUCGUACGCGGGCGGCGCUCACGAGCUCUUGGUCUCCGGCGGCUACGACGCGAGAUCUUUGGUCUCCGGCGACGGCGGCGCGAGCUAUUGGUCGUCGGCUGCGGCGGCGCGAACUCUUGGCCAGAUUGUGCCACGGCGAGAUUCAGAGCUAUGUUAGAUGCGUGAUGAAACAGUACCACACAAGAUGCAGAUUCUGAUAACAAAAGCUAAACAAGCCAAUAUAUUGUUCAAUCUUGCAUCAUCAACACUAUCAUAUGGUUGCCAGUGUAUAUCUUGUCAGGACAUGUCAUCUCUGCAAACAAGUGCAGACUCAAUCCUUCUCUGAACAUACCAUCAGCUAGUGCCCUCCCUGUGAACAUCUUCAGGAUCCAGCAGAAUUAUCCAAAAGUUGUAAGCAUCACCAGCAGCUGAUGCAGAAAGGGCACAAAAUCAAGGCAGUUCAGUAAGAAAUAUGUCUGUUGGAAACAUCCCUAUAUAUUGUUGUUGUUCCGUGAUGUUGUACAUUGUAAACAUAUCUCCUUAUUCAGGGAUUUAGUUAGCCACGACUGACUAGCACGUUCGUGCACUCAUGUACUUGGUUGAGAUCAAUACAAAAGUGGGUUUCAUCA